RNAcentral lists this ribosomal RNA (460 nucleotides) under uncultured bacterium. RNAcentral's name for it is "partial 16S ribosomal RNA". It matches the Rfam family "Bacterial small subunit ribosomal RNA", at positions 338 to 795 of the family's 1533-position model. The record is from RNAcentral.
CCUACGGGUGGCUGCAGUGAGGAAUAUUGGUCAAUGGGCGUAAGCCUGAACCAGCCAAGUCGCGUGAGGGAGGAAGGUUCUAUGGAUCGUAAACCUCUUUUAUAAGGGAGUAAAGUGUGGGACGUGUCCUAUUUUGUAUGUACCUUAAGAAUAAGGAUCGGCUAACUCAGUGCCAGCAGCCGCGGUACUACAGAGGAUCCGAGCGUUAUCCGGAUUUCUUGGUGUUAAAGGGUGCGGAAGCUGCCUUUUAAGUCAGUGGUGAAGGUCUGUGGCUCAACCAUAGAAGUGCCGUUGAAGCUGGGGGGCUUGGUGAUGUGUGAGGCAGGCGGAAUGCGUGGUGUAGCGGUGAAAUGCUUAGAUAUCACGCAGAACCCCGAUUGCGAAGGCAGCCUGCCAAGCCAUGACUGACGCUGAUGCACGAAAGCGUGGGGAUCAAACAGGAUUAGAUACCCGGGUAGUC